RNAcentral lists this ribosomal RNA (253 nucleotides) under uncultured bacterium. Its description in RNAcentral is "partial 16S ribosomal RNA". It matches the Rfam family "Bacterial small subunit ribosomal RNA", at positions 524 to 776 of the family's 1533-position model. The record is from RNAcentral.
UACGAAGGGGGCUAGCGUUGCUCGGAAUCACUGGGCGUAAAGGGUGCGUAGGCGGGUCUUUAAGUCAGGGGUGUAAUCCUGGAGCUCAACUCCAGAACUGCCUUUGAUACUGAAGAUCUUGAGUUCGGGAGAGGUGAGUGGAACUGCGAGUGUAGAGGUGAAAUUCGUAGAUAUUCGCAAGAACACCAGUGGCGAAGGCGGCUCACUGGCCCGGUACUGACGCUGAGGUGCGAAAGCGUGGGGAGCAAACAGG